AAUUAUGGAAUGGAAAUGUGAUUGAUAUUAUUUGAGAAGAAGAAAGAUUGAAUGCUGAAAUCUAAUUGUAGUUCAACAGAGAAAAUGAUUUUGUGUUUGUGUGAAACACUGUAAUGGGAAUGACAGUUCUGUGUGAAGAAUUCCAGUAAUUGGAACGAGGGUAAUUGUGUGCUAAAAGCUGUGAGGGCGUAGUAUUACAAUUGGAGAUUAUGAGGAUGAAUAUAUUGGU
RNAcentral lists this long non-coding RNA (229 nucleotides) under Physcomitrium patens. RNAcentral's name for it is "long non-coding RNA (PPAT_LNC000452)". The record is from RNAcentral. Lineage: Eukaryota; Viridiplantae; Streptophyta; Bryopsida; Funariales; Funariaceae.